RNAcentral lists this ribosomal RNA (465 nucleotides) under uncultured bacterium. RNAcentral describes it as "partial 16S ribosomal RNA". It matches the Rfam family "Bacterial small subunit ribosomal RNA", at positions 28 to 507 of the family's 1533-position model. The record is from RNAcentral.
GACGAACGCUGGCGGCGUGCUUAACACAUGCAAGUCGAACGGAAAGGCCCCCUUUUGGGGUACUCGAGUGGCGAACGGGUGGGUAACACGUGAGUAACCUACCCUUGACUUUGGGAUAACUUCAGGAAACUGGGGCUAAUACCGGAUAGGAGCUCCUGCUGCAUGGGGGGGGGUGGAAAGUUUCGGCGGUUGGGGAUGGACUCGCGGCUUAUCAGCUUGUUGGUGGGGUAGUGGCUCACCAAGGCUUUGACGGGUAGCCGGCCUGAGAGGGUGACCGGCCACAUUGGGACUGAGAUACGGCCCAGACUCCUACGGGAGGCAGCAGUGGGGAAUAUUGCACAAUGGGCGGAAGCCUGAUGCAGCAACGCCGCGUGCGGGAUGACGGCCUUCGGGUUGUAAACCGCUUUCGCCUGUGACGAAGCGUGAGUGACGGUAAUGGGUAAAGAAGCACCGGCUAACUACGUG